UGACCUCGGAUCAGGUAGGGAUACCCGCUGAACUUAAGCAUAUCAAUAAGCGGAGGAAAAGAAACCAACCGGGAUUGCCUCAGUAACGGCGAGUGAAGCGGCAAGAGCUCAAAUUUGAAAGCUGGCUCCUUCGGAGUCCGCAUUGUAAUUUGCAGAGGAUGCUUUGGGUGCGGCCCCCGUCUAAGUGCCCUGGAACGGGCCGUCAGAGAGGGUGAGAAUCCCGUCUUGGGCGGGGUGUCCGUGCCCGUGUAAAGCUCCUUCGACGAGUCGAGUUGUUUGGGAAUGCAGCUCUAAAUGGGUGGUAAAUUUCAUCUAAAGCUAAAUACUGGCCGGAGACCGAUAGCGCACAAGUAGAGUGAUCGAAAGAUGAAAAGCACUUUGAAAAGAGAGUUAAACAGCACGUGAAAUUGUUGAAAGGGAAGCGCUUGCGACCAGACUCGCCCGCGGGGUUCAGCCGGCAUUCGUGCCGGUGUACUUCCCCGUGGGCGGGCCAGCGUCGGUUUGGGCGGCCGGUCAAAGGCCCCUGGAAUGUAGUGCCCUCCGGGGCACCUUAUAGCCAGGGGUGCAAUGCGGCCAGCCUGGACCGAGGAACGCGCUUCGGCACGGACGCUGGCAUAAUGGUCGUAAACGACCCGUCUUGAAACACGGACCAAGGAGUCUAACAUCUACGCGAGUGUUCGGGUGUCAAACCCGUGCGCGCAGUGAAAGCGAACGGAGGUGGGAGCCCCCUUGCGGGGCGCACCAUCGACCGAUCCUGAUGUCUUCGGAUGGAUUUGAGUAAGAGCGUAGCUGUGGGGACCCGAAAGAUGGUGAACUAUGCCUGAAUAGGGCGAAGCCAGAGGAAACUCUGGUGGAGGCUCGCAGCGGUUCUGACGUGCAAAUCGAUCGUCAAAUUUGGGUAUAGGGGCGAAAGACUAAUCGAACCAUCUAGUAGCUGGUUCCUGCCGAAGUUUCCCUCAGGAUAGCAGUAACGCAAAAUCAGUUUUAUGAGGUAAAGCGAAUGAUUAGAGGCAUUGGGGUUGAAACAACCUUAACCUAUUCUCAAACUUUAAAUAUGUAAGAAGCCCUUGUUGCUUAGUUGAACGUGGGCAUUAGAAUGGAGCGU
Molecule: ribosomal RNA, 1105 nt
Filed under: Aspergillus niger
Lineage: Eukaryota; Fungi; Ascomycota; Eurotiomycetes; Eurotiales; Aspergillaceae
Description: eukaryotic LSU rRNA
Rfam family: Eukaryotic large subunit ribosomal RNA
Source: RNAcentral